This 396-nucleotide unclassified non-coding RNA is filed under the name uncultured fungus. RNAcentral's name for it is "sequence contains ITS1". The stretch from base 1 to 105 matches the Rfam family "5.8S ribosomal RNA", at positions 50 to 154 of the family's 154-position model. The record is from RNAcentral. Lineage: Eukaryota; Fungi.
GAAAUGCGAUAAGUAAUGUGAAUUGCAGAAUUCAGUGAAUCAUCGAAUCUUUGAACGCACCUUGCGCUCCUUGGCAUUCCGAGGAGCAUGCCUGUUUGAGUGUCGUCGAACCCUCACAGCCCCAAGUGGUGUACUUUUGGCGUGGAUUGGUGGAGGCCUUGCAGGUGGUGGGGAUUCCGGAUGGUGGGAGUCCCCCCCCCUCCCCUGCUCCUCUGAAAUGCAUUUGCACAACAACAUCUGGCGGCGCACCUUCCCGGAACAAGGGGAAGUUAGCUGCCGAUCGAUGCGACGCACGGGGGGCACCCACGGUGGGUAUGAUACGAGUCUUACCUGGCGCGGUGCCCGUCGACGCACACAUUUGACCUCAAAUCAGGCAGGACUACCCGCUGAACUUAA